GACGAACGCUGGCGGCGUGCCUAAUACAUGCAAGUAGAACGCUGAAGCGAGGAGCUUGCUCUUCUUGGAUGAGUUGCGAACGGGUGAGUAACGCGUAGGUAACCUGCCUUGUAGCGGGGGAUAACUAUUGGAAACGAUAGCUAAUACCGCAUAACAAUGGAUGACACAUGUCAUUUAUUUGAAAGGGGCAAUUGCUCCACUACAAGAUGGACCUGCGUUGUAUUAGCUAGUAGGUGAGGUAAUGGCUCACCUAGGCGACGAUACAUAGCCGACCUGAGAGGGUGAUCGGCCACACUGGGACUGAGACACGGCCCAGACUCCUACGGGAGGCAGCAGUAGGGAAUCUUCGGCAAUGGGGGCAACCCUGACCGAGCAACGCCGCGUGAGUGAGGAAGGUUUUCGGAUCGUAAAGCUCUGUUGUAAGUCAAGAACGGGUGUGAGAGUGGAAAGUUCACACUGUGACGGUAGCUUACCAGAAAGGGACGGCUAACUACGUG
This 497-nucleotide ribosomal RNA is filed under the name uncultured bacterium. RNAcentral describes it as "partial 16S ribosomal RNA". It matches the Rfam family "Bacterial small subunit ribosomal RNA", at positions 28 to 507 of the family's 1533-position model. The record is from RNAcentral.